CGUAGGGUGCGAGCGUUAAUUGGAAUUACUGGGCGUAAAGCGUGCGUAGGCGGUUCGUUAAGUCAGCUGUGAAAGCCCCGGGCUCAACCUGGGAACUGCGGUUGAAACUGGCGAACUAGAAUCUGGCAGAGGGGGUGGAAUUCCACGUGUAGCAGUGAAAUGCGUAGAGAUGUGGAGGAACACCGAUGGCGAAGGCAGCCCCCUGGGCUGAGAUUGACGCUCAGGCACGAAAGCGUGGGGAGCAAACAGGAUUAGAUACCCUGGUAGUCCACGCCCUAAACGAUGUCAACUAGGUGUUGGAGGAGCAAUCCUUUGGUACCGCAGCUAACGCGUGAAGUUGACCGCCUGGGGAGUACGGUCGCAAGAUUA
Molecule: ribosomal RNA, 369 nt
Filed under: uncultured organism
Description: bacterial SSU rRNA
Rfam family: Bacterial small subunit ribosomal RNA
Source: RNAcentral